This 495-nucleotide ribosomal RNA is filed under the name uncultured bacterium. RNAcentral describes it as "partial 16S ribosomal RNA". It matches the Rfam family "Bacterial small subunit ribosomal RNA", at positions 28 to 507 of the family's 1533-position model. The record is from RNAcentral.
GACGAACGCUGGCGGCGUGCCUAAUACAUGCAAGUAGAACGCUGAAGGAGGAGCUUGCUUCUCCGGAUGAGUUGCGAACGGGUGAGUAACGCGUAGGUAACCUGCCUGGUAGCGGGGGAUAACUAUUGGAAACGAUAGCUAAUACCGCAUAAGAGUAGAUGUUGCAUGACAUUUGCUUAAAAGGUGCAAUUGCAUCACUACCAGAUGGACCUGCGUUGUAUUAGCUAGUUGGUGGGGUAACGGCUUACCAAGGCGACGAUACAUAGCCGACCUGAGAGGGUGAUCGGCCACACUGGGACUGAGACACGGCCCAGACUCCUACGGGAGGCAGCAGUAGGGAAUCUUCGGCAAUGGACGGAAGUCUGACCGAGCAACGCCGCGUGAGUGAAGAAGGGUUUCGGAUCGUAAAGCUCGGUUGUAAGAGAAGAACGAGUGUGAGAGUGGAAAGUUCACACUGUGACGGUAUCUUACCAGAAAGGGACGGCUAACUACGUG